AUGCUCACUUUGGCAGCACAAAUACUAAAAUUGGAACAAUACAGAGUACAUUAACAUGGCCCUGCGCAAGGAUGACACACAAAUUCAUGAAGCAUUCCAUAUUUUU
Molecule: small nuclear RNA, 106 nt
Organism: Cricetulus griseus (Chinese hamster)
Lineage: Eukaryota; Metazoa; Chordata; Mammalia; Rodentia; Cricetidae
Source: Ensembl